AGAACAGAUUGCAGCGCGUGCUGUAAUUGAAUCUAUCUUAGGUUCUAGCACUGGAACUACAAUGUCACAAAUUAUAAAGUCGAAGAGUAGACUCUAUGAUGCAAUCCAUAAAGGCAAUGGGUCUGGCACAGUGCAUGAUGUUGGCUUGGCAGGGAAUGUGGAAAACCAUCAUGCUGCGAAUGUUGCCAUAGCUAAGGAAACAGACAGUGACGUGGCAAAAGGUAAAUUGCCAGAUGUUGCAAUUGCCGAGCCUGUAUCUUCUGAACAUCCUACUGGUGCUUCAAAAGCAAACUCUUUUCCAUUUGAAGCUAUAAAGCCGAAGGAAGAAGUAUGUGAACAAUCCGAAUUGGGUGCACCUGUAACAUCUCUCGCUACUCUCCAACAAAGUGAGCCAACAUUGAAUGCACCACAAAGCGUGAAUGAAUCACAAAGCAUUGGUUGUAGCAACACGCGGAAACGCCAGAACAAGAACAAAAGAGGGCGUUCAAAGAGAGCACGAGCUGAUGGCCCGUCAUCCAUGUUCCCAGAGACAGCAAACCAAGGAUCACCUGUUUGUACAGAGACUGCAGCAAAGGAGCUUCGUGAACUGACAGCUGUGGCGGUUUGAUGACCAGUUUUUAUAUAAAGGCCAACUGGUCGAAUUGUAGGCGUUUGGUAAAUCACUCUGUAGGCCUUAUAAUGUGUACUUGGAUUGUAUUGCUACGGUCAG
This 709-nucleotide unclassified non-coding RNA is filed under the name Hevea brasiliensis (rubber tree). The record is from RNAcentral. Lineage: Eukaryota; Viridiplantae; Streptophyta; Magnoliopsida; Malpighiales; Euphorbiaceae.